This 305-nucleotide ribosomal RNA is filed under the name uncultured bacterium. Its description in RNAcentral is "bacterial SSU rRNA". It matches the Rfam family "Bacterial small subunit ribosomal RNA", at positions 337 to 659 of the family's 1533-position model. The record is from RNAcentral.
GCCUACGGGACGCAGCAGUGGGGAAUAUUGCACAAUGGGGGAAACCCUGAUGCAGCGACGCCGCGUGAGUGAAGAAGUAUUUCGGUAUGUAAAGCUCUAUCAGCAGGGAAGAUAAUGACGGUACCUGACUAAGAAGCCCCGGCUAACUACGUGCCAGCAGCCGCGGUAAUACGUAGGUGGCAAGCGUUGUCCGGAUUUACUGGGUGUAAAGGGCGUGCAGCCGGAGAGACAAGUCAGAUGUGAAAUCCGCAGGCUCAACCUGCGAACUGCAUUUGAAACUGUUUCCCUUGAGUAUCGGAGAGGUC